CCUACGGGAGGCAGCAGUGAGGAAUAUUGGUCAAUGGCCGGAAGGCUGAACCAGCGAUGCCGCGUGAAGGUCAGUGCCCUAUGGGCGUUAAACUUCUUUUGUGCGGGAGCAAUAAUGGUCACGUGUGGCCAGACGAGAGUACCGUAAGAAUAAGCAUCGGCUAACUCCGGGCCAGCAGCCGCGGUAAUACGGGGGAUGCAAGUGUUAUCCGGAUUUAUUGGGUUUAAAGGGUGCGUAAGCUGGGAGGUAAGUCAGCGGUGCAAUGCCCCCGCUCAACGGGGGGAAGUGCCAUUGAUACUGCCUAGCUGGAAUGCGGAUGCCGUGGGAGGAAUGUGUGGGGUAGCGGUGAAAUGCAUAGAUAUCACACAGAACACCGAUUGCGAAGGCAUCUCACGAAUCCGCGAUUGACGCUGAUGCACGAAAGCGUGGGUAUCAAACAGGAUUAGAUACCCUUGUAGUC
This 460-nucleotide ribosomal RNA is filed under the name uncultured bacterium. Its description in RNAcentral is "partial 16S ribosomal RNA". It matches the Rfam family "Bacterial small subunit ribosomal RNA", at positions 338 to 795 of the family's 1533-position model. The record is from RNAcentral.